Long non-coding RNA from Lytechinus variegatus (green sea urchin), 567 nucleotides. RefSeq lists it as uncharacterized. Lineage: Eukaryota; Metazoa; Echinodermata; Echinoidea; Temnopleuroida; Toxopneustidae. The transcript is spliced from 4 exons. The record is from RefSeq and is a predicted model, not a curated record.
GCCAAGGUAAAGGCAAAGCGGCGGAUGUGUCUCUUCAAUUUCAUUUUGAAAGAUGUUUUCCUUCUUGUAAUAUAAUUUACAAGUGAAAUUUAGAGUCCUACAGAUUCAGACUGGAAUUCUAACAUGUACGCCUUUAAUACCGCUUGACUGUGGUACCUUUAUUCACCCGCUCAGCUCAACAUCGACGUUUCCAAGAAAUUUCCAGCCCAUAUUCAUUUCAACAAAUCAGAAAAGGGCAUUUGUUUGAGAUUUUACCUUGCUCUCUACGAUACCCCCAUCAGCCGUGUCUACUGCAGUAACUCUGUUAGAUCAGCUCAGCUCACCUGCGAUCCAACUCUAACGGACAAUCAAGAAUUCAAGCUUGUCUCAGCUUAGAACAGGUCAGAACAAGUGUGACGCCCACAGAAUUGAACUGCUAUGAAGCCCCGACCACCAGUACCAAUUUCAUCAGCCCAUCACCCCGACGACUUGAUGGCAGCAGCUCCAGACAUCAGGUCAGGGGCCUGUUUCAUAAAGAGUUACAAGUAACAUUGCCAUUAUGGCAACUACCAUGAUGUGAAGGCUCGA